UGCUAGAGAGAAGCCAUUGUAACAGUGCACAUUUUGCACUCACUGCAUGGCUGCUUCUAGUUGAUUAUUCCCAACACUCACUUGAGGAGAUAUGUGGUCUAGAUGAUGUCACAUCAUAUUUGCAAAAUGGAUGCUUUCAAUAGUGGCUUCUAUCUAUAUUUAUUCUUAAAUCAAGUGAUCAUGCAUAUGCUU
Molecule: long non-coding RNA, 192 nt
Organism: Juglans microcarpa x Juglans regia
Lineage: Eukaryota; Viridiplantae; Streptophyta; Magnoliopsida; Fagales; Juglandaceae
Exons: 3
Source: RefSeq, a predicted model, not a curated record